AGCGAUGCAUCAGGAGCAUGCGACGGCAGCAGGGCAUGCGACUCGAUGAGCGGUAUGUUCCAUACUUGCAGAUGGCCAGAUUAUACCAUCUUGCGAGGUUCGACGAUAGAUGGUUCUAGUUAGAUGAGCCCCUUGUCAGUGCCUUCGUCGAGCGGUGGCGUCCGGAGACGCACACCUUCCAUAUGCCGUUCAGAGAGUGCACUAUCACACUUCAGGACGUGGCGUACCAGUUGGGGUUGCCAGUGGAUGGGCAUUAUGUCAGUGGUUGCCUUACAGAUUUUCAGAUAUACAUCCAGGGUGGCCGUCCAGCUUGGGUGUGGUUCCAGGAGUUGCUUGGAGUGAUUCCUCCUCCGAGCCAGGUUUAGAAGUUCGCAGUAAACUGUACCUGGUUCCAGGAGACUUUUGGAGAGUGCCCUAAGGGAGCCGAUGAGGAGACUGUGCGACGCUUUGCUCGUGCCUACAUCAUGAUAUUGUUGGGCACUCAGCUGUUUUUCGACAAGUCCGGGAACCGCAUUCACAUCAGAUGGCUUCCCUACGUAGCUAGGCUUGAGGAGAUGGGGACCUACAGCUGGGGGUCUGCAGUACUGGCAUGGUUGUACCGGUGCAUGUGCCGAGUGGCGAACAAACAUGUGGUCAAGUUAGCGGGCCCACUUCAGCUACUUCAGUCCUGGAACUUCUGGCGCUUUCCUAGGUUUAGGCUUACUGGGUAUGAUACGUGCAGCUGGCCGUUGGCCUCGAGGUGGUCAGGUUACAGCCCUUCCGGUAGCGAGAAGGGUCCUAGAGUGUAGAUGUGGAGACUGAGGAUAGACAUGUUACAGGACAGGGAUUUUAUCUGGAUGCCGUAUAGCUUGCCCGAGGUACUGCAGGUUGUGCAUCCAGAGGCAUUGGAGUCUCGGCAUACGACGUUCUGGCGAUCUGUGAUGUCACUGAUAUACUUUGCCGUCAUAGAGUGGCAUCAGAUAGAUAUGGUUCUACCACAGUUCGGUGGAGUCCAGCCCCGUCCGCAUCCCGCCCUGAACAUCGACUUUCUGAUGUCAAAGGACGGCAGAGGCGGUGAUUGUUGGUUCCCGUAUGCUUUGCAGUCAUGGCAUCUCCAUUGGGUGGCCCGUGCGGACCACGUGCUCAGGUUCGAUGUUGUUGCAGACCCUGAACCAUCACAUGAGUUCCUGGAGUGGUGGAGUUAGCAUGGAAAGAGGUUAUUGUCUCUAGAGAUGUACUUGGGUGAUCCGAGAGCCGUUCCUAUUCCUGUGGAGGCGUCACAGAGGGGUGCUGGACGAGUUCCUGACAUGGAUCGUGUUGACGACGUGCCAGACAGGCGUCGGGUCGAGAGGAGAGUUCGUCUGGCGACACGACGGAGCUAGCGUGAGUGGAGGUGGCUAGACCAGGCUAUGGACGAGGCUGACGGGGGCGGUCGACAUGGAGGUGAACGAUGAGGGCAUGGAGGGAAAUGGAGAGGGCAUGCUGCGGCGACCAAGCACGGUGAUCAUGGUGACGACGAUAACGACAAUCAGCACGGGCCCGUUGGGGGGUUGCUGCAGGGCAUGUGGCAGUUGGUGGUGUUAGUCCCCAUGAUGGCGGAUAUGGAGGCGAGUGGUAUGGGUCAGGUAUGGGUGACGGGGCUGACUCUGGUGAUGGUGGACUUGGUUCGGGGCCGCUUGGAGAUUACUUCGUUGGUGUACUAGCCCAUAACUAGACCCUUCAAGAGAGUAUGCCAUGGGUUAGUCCGGGGUCGAUGUUUUCAGAAUUCCUUGCAUUAGAUGGGCUUGAUGCGGACUUCGGCGGGUCACACUUUCUAGACGAGAUUACUGCCAUCAUGCAGGAGGAUGUGGCGGCCCGUAGGCGUGGUCAGAACUCUGGCACACAGGCACCUUUAGAUGUUGAUGUGAACGAGCCUCCUACGAUGCCUGUUGCUGACCAUUUUGCAUUGGGGGGUACCCCUCCUUUCGCAUACACUGCUACGUCACAUUCAGUUGCCGGGCCAUCUGUGGCACCCGUCCAGCCUAGGCCACCUGCACAGCCUGCCCCGGAUGAUGAGGAGGAUGAGAUCGAGGACGAGGAGCCGCUUAUCCACAGAGGUCAGAGGACACGGGUACCCUGUCGUUGCUUCACCGGCUUGCAUCUGUUUAGAUGAUUCAUGUGUCAUGUAUGUUGUUUGUUCAUGUUCAUUGUUGUAUGUUAGCCAGUUUUACUUUUGUCGUUGAUGUACACUGACGAUCGAAUAUGU
Arachis duranensis is the source of this 2224-nucleotide long non-coding RNA. RefSeq lists it as uncharacterized. The transcript is spliced from 3 exons. The record is from RefSeq and is a predicted model, not a curated record. Lineage: Eukaryota; Viridiplantae; Streptophyta; Magnoliopsida; Fabales; Fabaceae.